UGUAGCUCAGUUGGUAGAGUGUUUGCCUUGCAUGCACAAGACCCUGGGUUCAAUCUCCAGGAA
Molecule: transfer RNA, 63 nt
Filed under: Marmota monax (woodchuck)
Lineage: Eukaryota; Metazoa; Chordata; Mammalia; Rodentia; Sciuridae
Description: tRNA.Ala
Rfam family: tRNA
About the family: Transfer RNA (tRNA) molecules are approximately 80 nucleotides in length. Their secondary structure includes four short double-helical elements and three loops (D, anti-codon, and T loops). Further hydrogen bonds mediate the characteristic L-shaped molecular structure. tRNAs have two regions of fundamental functional importance: the anti-codon, which is responsible for specific mRNA codon recognition, and the 3' end, to which the tRNAs corresponding amino acid is attached (by aminoacyl-tRNA synthetases). tRNAs cope with the degeneracy of the genetic code in two manners: having more than one tRNA (with a specific anti-codon) for a particular amino acid; and 'wobble' base-pairing, i.e. permitting non-standard base-pairing at the 3rd anti-codon position.
Source: RNAcentral